GACAGAGGGUGCGAACGUUGUUCGGAAUUACUGGGCGUAAAGCGCGUGUAGGCGGCGUGGCAAGUCGGGUGUGAAAGCCCUGGGCUCAACCCAGGAAGUGCAUUCGAUACUGCCAUGCUGGAGUCCCGGAGAGGAUGGUGGAACUCUCGGUGUAGAGGUGAAAUUCGUAGAUAUCGAGAAGAACACCGGCGGCGAAGGCGGCCAUCUGGACGGUGACUGACGCUGAGACGCGAAAGCGUGGGGAGCAAACAG
RNAcentral lists this ribosomal RNA (252 nucleotides) under uncultured bacterium. RNAcentral's name for it is "partial 16S ribosomal RNA". It matches the Rfam family "Bacterial small subunit ribosomal RNA", at positions 524 to 775 of the family's 1533-position model. The record is from RNAcentral.